Molecule: ribosomal RNA, 595 nt
Filed under: uncultured bacterium
Lineage: Bacteria
Description: bacterial SSU rRNA
Rfam family: Bacterial small subunit ribosomal RNA
Source: RNAcentral
AUCAGCCACAUUGGGACUGAGACACGGCCCAAACUCCUACGGGAGGCAGCAGUGGGGAAUAUUGGACAAUGGGCGCAAGCCUGAUCCAGCCAUGCCGCGUGAGUGAUGACGGCCUUAGGGUUGUAAAGCUCUUUCGUCAGGGACGAUAAUGACGGUACCUGAAGAAGAAGCCCCGGCUAACUUCGUGCCAGCAGCCGCGGUAAUACGAAGGGGGCUAGCGUUGUUCGGAAUUACUGGGCGUAAAGCGCGUGUAGGCGGGUCUUUAAGUCAGGGGUGAAAUGCCAGGGCUCAACCUUGGAACUGCCUUUGAUACUGGAGAUCUUGAGUCCGGGAGAGGUGAGUGGAACUGCGAGUGUAGAGGUGAAAUUCGUAGAUAUUCGCAAGAACACCAGUGGCGAAGGCGGCUCACUGGCCCGGUACUGACGCUGAGAUGCGAAAGCGUGGGGAGCAAACAGGAUUAGAUACCCUGGUAGUCCACGCUGUAAACGAUGGAUGCUAGCCGUUAGGCAGCUUGCUGCUUAGUGGCGCAGUUAACACUUUAAGCAUCCCGCCUGGGGAGUACGGUCGCAAGAUUAAAACUCAAAGGAAUGACGGA